AGUGAACGCUGGCGGUAGGCCUAACACAUGCAAGUCGAACGGCAGCGCAGUAAGAGCUUGCUCUUACGGGUGGCGAGUGGCGGACGGGUGAGGAAUACAUCGGAAUCUACUUUUUCGUGGGGGAUAACGUAGGGAAACUUACGCUAAUACCGCAUACGACCUACGGGUGAAAGCAGGGGAUCUUCGGACCUUGCGCGAUUGAAUGCGCCGAUGUCGGAUUAGCUAGUUGGCGGGGUAAAGGCCCACCAAGGCGACGAUCCGUAGCUGGUCUGAGAGGAUGAUCAGCCACACGAGAACUGAGACACGGUCCAGAGUCCUACGGGAGGCAGCAGUGGGGAAUAUUGGACAAUGGGCGCAAGCCUGAUCCAGCCAGACCGCGUGGGUGAAGAAGGCCUUCGGGUUGUAAAGCCCUUUUGUGGGGAAAGAAAAGCAGCAGGUUAAGACCCCGCUGUUCUGACGGUACCCAAAGAAUAAGCACCGGCUAACUUCGUG
RNAcentral lists this ribosomal RNA (492 nucleotides) under uncultured bacterium. RNAcentral's name for it is "partial 16S ribosomal RNA". It matches the Rfam family "Bacterial small subunit ribosomal RNA", at positions 29 to 507 of the family's 1533-position model. The record is from RNAcentral.